ACAUUUAUAUAUUUCGGAUAUAGAAAAUUCUUAGAGCAAUAUUAUUGGUUAAGAUCUUUUUUUUUUUUUCAAGAUUUGGGUAAAAUACUAUCAAUAAUGGUGGUCUAACACCCAAAUGAUGGAGAUGGAGUGUUCAUCCCUAUAGUAACUUCAGUUUAUGGCUCUAACGACUAGCGGAUAUGAGAAAUAAACUAAUUAACAUAAUUGUUUAAUAAUUUAACCCCAUAUAUACCUCUUUUUCUUUAG
RNAcentral lists this long non-coding RNA (246 nucleotides) under Capsella rubella. RNAcentral describes it as "long non-coding RNA (CRUB_LNC005194)". Lineage: Eukaryota; Viridiplantae; Streptophyta; Magnoliopsida; Brassicales; Brassicaceae. The record is from RNAcentral.